This is a long non-coding RNA of Glycine soja, 488 nucleotides long. RefSeq lists it as uncharacterized. NCBI's taxonomy places the organism in Eukaryota, Viridiplantae, Streptophyta, Magnoliopsida, Fabales, Fabaceae. The transcript is spliced from 2 exons. The record is from RefSeq and is a predicted model, not a curated record.
CUAUGUAGUUCCUAGGCUGCCAUAGAGUUUUGAUUACAAGUAUACAAGGUGAAAAAGGUUGUCAUAAUUAGGAAAAUAUGGCCGGGCAAAGUGGUGUAGUUUUUGGUAACAAUUUUAUUAGAGUAGUUCAACCGCACUUCCCCAUUGCGCCAACUGCAAAAGCAGAUACUUGCAGCAAUUUAGUGAAUGUUUGUUCGAAUUGAACGCCGAUUCCAGAGAAGUUCAUGGCUUUGGAAGAUUGAUGGUUGAGAAGUUCAUGUUGGCAGUUGACACUCACAUGCUUUUAACUUUAGAUUCUAUAAAUUAAGUUUUAUUUUUUUAUUUUGAUGAGGUGUCAUUUUUUGAAUGGUUGUGAGCAAUAGCGACAUAUUGAGGUUGCGUGUAUGUAAGACUUUCUCGGCAAUCUUGUUAGUUCGAUAAAUAGGUUGGAUUGAGCUGUAAAAAUUUUAAUUUUAGUAUAUAAGUAAGUGAAUACAUGUUCAUUCUAA